RNAcentral lists this ribosomal RNA (245 nucleotides) under uncultured bacterium. Its description in RNAcentral is "partial 16S ribosomal RNA". It matches the Rfam family "Bacterial small subunit ribosomal RNA", at positions 796 to 1041 of the family's 1533-position model. The record is from RNAcentral.
CACGCCGUAAACGGUGGGCACUAGGUGUGGGACCCUUUCGACGGGUUCCGUGCCGUAGCUAACGCAUUAAGUGCCCCGCCUGGGGAGUACGGCCGCAAGGCUAAAACUCAAAGGAAUUGACGGGGGCCCGCACAAGCGGCGGAGCAUGUGGCUUAAUUCGAUGCAACGCGAAGAACCUUACCUGGGUUGAACUAUGCAGGAAAAGCAGUAGAGAUACUGUGUCCUUCGGGGCCUGCGAUAGGUGG